This 422-nucleotide RNase P RNA is filed under the name Alphaproteobacteria bacterium. Its description in RNAcentral is "RNase P RNA component class A". It matches the Rfam family "Bacterial RNase P class A". Rfam says of the family: Ribonuclease P (RNase P) is a ubiquitous endoribonuclease, found in archaea, bacteria and eukarya as well as chloroplasts and mitochondria. Its best characterised activity is the generation of mature 5'-ends of tRNAs by cleaving the 5'-leader elements of precursor-tRNAs. The record is from RNAcentral. Lineage: Bacteria; Pseudomonadati; Pseudomonadota; Alphaproteobacteria.
UCAGACGGCCGGAUGGUCGCCUUUCGCGCCGGGGAAACCCUGCGGGGGGAGGAAAGUCCGGGCUCCACGGAGACACGGUGCCGGGUAACGCCCGGCGGGGGCGACCCCAGGGAAAGUGCCACAGAGAGCAGACCGCCGCGCCGAACCCCCUGGCAUUGCCCGGGGGCGAAGGCAGGCAAGGGUGAAAGGGUGCGGUAAGAGCGCACCGCGUUCCCGGCGACGGGAACGGCAUGGCAAACCCCACCGGGAGCAAGACCGAAUAGGGGCGGCAUCGCGGGUUUCGGCCCGCAGGCGCGUUUCCGCGUCGCUGCCCGGGUAGGUCGCGCGAGGCGUCCGGCAACGGGCGUCCCAGAUGAAUGGCCAUCCCUCCCGGCGCCCCGGCGACGGGAGGACAGAACCCGGCUUACAGGCCGUCUGACCCC